UCCUCGAUGGUCUAGUGGUAUGUACUACCGCUCUUCACGCGGGAGACCAGGGUUCGAUUCCCUGUCGGGGAG
This 72-nucleotide transfer RNA is filed under the name Exophiala oligosperma. Its description in RNAcentral is "tRNA-Glu (TTC) (tRNA-Glu-TTC-2-1)". It matches the Rfam family "tRNA". From Rfam's summary of the family: Transfer RNA (tRNA) molecules are approximately 80 nucleotides in length. Their secondary structure includes four short double-helical elements and three loops (D, anti-codon, and T loops). Lineage: Eukaryota; Fungi; Ascomycota; Eurotiomycetes; Chaetothyriales; Herpotrichiellaceae. The record is from RNAcentral.